AACGCACAUUGCACCUUUUGGUAUUCCGAAAGGUAUGCUUGUUCGAGCGUCGUUUAAACUCUAUCAAUUUAAUUAUUGAAUGUGUUGGGCUUUUCACUUUUGUAACAAAAGUGAUGCCUCAAAAUAAGUGAGCGAUCUGAAUUUAGAUUUAUAUUGACGCAUUAAAUUUUUACUCGUCAAAGAAAAUCUAUUCAGAGCAGCCAAAAAUUGUUCUUUCUUUUCUUUCCUCACGGAGAGAGAAAUUGACACCUUUUUUAUUAUCGACCUCGGAUCAAGUAGGAUUACCCGCUGAACUUAA
Molecule: unclassified non-coding RNA, 298 nt
Filed under: Camptobasidium sp.
Lineage: Eukaryota; Fungi; Basidiomycota; Microbotryomycetes; Kriegeriales; Camptobasidiaceae
Description: partial contains 5.8S ribosomal RNA, internal transcribed spacer 2, and large subunit ribosomal RNA
Source: RNAcentral